Mustela putorius furo (domestic ferret) is the source of this 1550-nucleotide long non-coding RNA. The record is from Ensembl. NCBI's taxonomy places the organism in Eukaryota, Metazoa, Chordata, Mammalia, Carnivora, Mustelidae.
UGUAGGUUUAAAAAAAGUCAACGAACCUUCUUCUUCUUCUUCUUUUUUUUUUUUUUAAGAGGAGAAAAGGAGUGGGUAGGGAGAGCAAGAGAAUCUUAAGCAGGCUCCAUGCCCAGUGCAGAGCCUAAAGCAGGGGCUUCACCUCGGUCUCAGUCUCUCAAUCCUGAGAUCGUGGCUGGAGCCAAAAUCAAGAGUUGGACACUUAACUGACUAAGCAGCCCAGGUGCCCCAAAAGUUAAACAACCUUAAAGGCAGAAACAUUUGCAGUCUUGUUAGCUAUUUCAAUUCAUUCAAACCUUAUCUUACUGGGCUUCAGUUUAUUAGGUGAAAAUGGCAAGCAAUGAUUAUUACUACAUUGUAGAGGUAGAAAUAUUAAAUAAUUUAAAGGAUCUGAUUGUAUCACCAUUAGUAGGUAUCUUAAAUGAAUUACUUCCCUGAUUAUAUUUUCAUAUCUCACAUAGUCUUUGUCUAAAAAGGGAAUUUAGAAGUAGUCAGUAGUGAAGUGGCAAGUAUCAUGGGCCUUGGGUAGGAAGGCAGAGCACAGUACCAACGAGCACCAUGGUAUUAAGAUUUUGAGCACUAAAAAUGACUUUCAGGAAAGCAGAUGUGAUCUCAGGACUUCAGUGAAGAUAAACCACCUUCUCAGGAAGCAGAGAAUUGUACCUUAAUUUUAAUUUUUCAGCAGUAUUGUCAUCCAUUUAAUAUGGAUUUUAAAAGACACAAUGAAACCCUAAUAAUAAGGUCCUCAUUUUCCUGGGUGAGAAUCUUUGGAUGAAACUGGAUAUGCAUUGUUAUCUGUUUUACUUUGUCCAAAAGUGGUCCGCAUUGUAUAUUGCUUCGCAGUCUGUUAAAAUAAUCUUCUAAUAAACACGAAGACCCAAAUUCCUGGUGCAGAUAAGAAAACUACGCACAUUCCUACCUUCUCCAAACAGCCAGGAUUAGAUCAAAAGGCAACCUUAUGACACUUGGAGCACAAACCCUCUGGGCGCGCACAGAUGGGUCAACCGACAAGUCACAACGUCUGGGAAGCGAGAGAGAAGCGAAAUUCCCGCACUUACAUCAAGCGAAUUCUUAGCAGAACCUUAAACAUUCACCCAGGGGAACUGAGAGUGGCGGGCGGGGAGGACAUCGGUCCUGUAACGAUCCCCGACGAUCAGUCGUCUGUUACGUGCGCUCAGAACAGCCAACAAAGAGCCUCCGUUGCGCUUGUCCUCCAGUCCCACGUCGCCCGGGACUGUACGGCAAAAGGACACCGCGGAGGGUAUGGGGGGCGGGGGCUCGCUCCGCGCUGGGGGCGGGUCCGGGCGGCCGCUCCCUCCGCCCCUGGAGUAGCUGCCACCUCCUGGCAGCGCCCCAGCUCAGCAGCUCAGACGCGGCCGCAUCCCCUGGACUGUAGAGGCGGCAGCGAGCCCGAGCCAGCAUCGCUGCUCUCGGCCACAGCGAGGCUGGGAGAGCCCGAGCGCGAGGACACCUGGCCCAGGCGCGGCGGGAAGCUCUGCGCGCCGCUGGAGGAGGUAAUCUCACCUAGGAUCCUGGAUCAGUUAGAAUAG